UACAGAGGUCCCGAGCGUUGUUCGGAUUUAUUGGGCGUAAAGAGCGUGUAGGCGGCCAAACAGGUCCACUGUGAAAACUCGAGGCUCAACCUCGAGAGGUCGGUGGAAACCGUCUGGCUAGAGUCCGGAAGAGGAGAGUGGAAUUCCCGGUGUAGCGGUGAAAUGCGCAGAUAUCGGGAAGAACACCCGUGGCGAAGGCGGCUCUCUGGGACGGUACUGACGCUGAGACGCGAAAGCGUGGGGAGCGAACAGG
RNAcentral lists this ribosomal RNA (253 nucleotides) under uncultured bacterium. RNAcentral describes it as "partial 16S ribosomal RNA". It matches the Rfam family "Bacterial small subunit ribosomal RNA", at positions 524 to 776 of the family's 1533-position model. The record is from RNAcentral.